UGCCAGCCGCCGCGGUAAUACGGAGGGGGUUAGCGUUGUUCGGAAUUACUGGGCGUAAAGCGUACGUAGGCGGAUUAAUAAGUUAGAGGUGAAAUCCUACCGCUCAACGGUAGAACUGCCUUUAAAACUGGCAAACUUGAGUUAUUGUGAAGUAAUUAGAAUGUGUAGUGUAGCGGUGAAAUGCAUAGAUAUUACACAGAAUACCGAUUGCGAAAGCAGAUUACUAACAAUUACCUGACGCUGAGGGACGAAAGCGCGGGUAGCGAACAGGAUUAGAUA
This 279-nucleotide ribosomal RNA is filed under the name uncultured bacterium. RNAcentral's name for it is "partial 16S ribosomal RNA". It matches the Rfam family "Bacterial small subunit ribosomal RNA", at positions 506 to 784 of the family's 1533-position model. The record is from RNAcentral.